RNAcentral lists this unclassified non-coding RNA (647 nucleotides) under fungal sp. JJ-16M. RNAcentral describes it as "partial contains 18S rRNA, ITS1, 5.8S rRNA, ITS2 and 28S RNA". The stretch from base 247 to 401 matches the Rfam family "5.8S ribosomal RNA". The record is from RNAcentral. Lineage: Eukaryota; Fungi.
AGGUCGUAACAAGGUUUCCGUAGGUGAACCUGCGGAAGGAUCAUUAUUGAAUUAUAAGGCUCCGAUUGUGCUGGCCUCUCGGGGCAUGUGCACGUCUCUGCCCGUUAAUCCCAACCCACCCCUGUGAACCGACCGUGUGAGGCGCUCUGUAAUGGAGCCGUCUCAUGCUUUAUCAUAAACCCUGUAUGUCUUCAGAAUGUAAAUCUAUAUCCUCGCCUUAAAACCGCGUUGGUAAAAAAUUAAUACAACUUUCAACAACGGAUCUCUUGGCUCUGGCAUCGAUGAAGAACGCAGCGAAAUGCGAUAAGUAAUGUGAAUUGCAGAUUUUCAGUGAAUCAUCGAAUCUUUGAACGCACCUUGCGCUCCCUGGUAUUCCGGGGAGCAUGCCUGUUUGAGUGUCAUUAAAUUCUCAACCCCGAUCGGAUUUAUUUUCGCAUUCGGAGGCUUGGAUAGUGGAGUGUGCUGGCCCCCUCUCAUGGGUCGGCUCCUCUCAAAUGCAUUCGCGGAAUUGACUUUGGUCCGUUUCGGUCAUCAGUGUGAUAAAUGUUGCGCUGUUGGCUAGGAUCGAGGUGCCGCAUACAAUGGUCUUCGGACAAUUUUAUAAACCAUUUGACCUCAAAUCAGGUAGGACUACCCGCUGAACUUAA